AUAUAAAGCCGCUGAGUCACGGAGAGCCCAUUCUACGCAUCCACCCCACUCCUGAUGGGACCAUAGUGACUGUUAGAGAAGAUGGGACAGUGAACUACUGGAGCUCCAAACUUCAACUGAGAAAGAGCAAAAAUAUGUUUCAUGAAAAACCCAUUGGACGAAUGCCAAAGUGGGCCACUGAUUUCACCAUCAUGCCACAAUACAACAAGCUGAUCAUUGGAACAGGGGACAGAGAAAUCCAGCUGUAUGAGCUUUCCUCGCUGGAGCCUUACUGUCAGCUAAACUCCCUGGAAACAGUGCCUCUGAAAUUAGACUACUGCUACACCGGCCCUGAUGAAUGCGUCAUUGUGUAUGGUGAUGUUCAGGUAACCAGUGGCUACUGAUUCAAGCAGAUAAGCAGGAUGGUUCAUGGCAUUUGUCUGAUUAAUUAUGAGACUUUUGGCGUCCUAGGGCUGCGUGAACAUCAUACUAAUGACAUCGGUG
This is a long non-coding RNA of Pygocentrus nattereri (red-bellied piranha), 483 nucleotides long. Lineage: Eukaryota; Metazoa; Chordata; Actinopteri; Characiformes; Serrasalmidae. The record is from Ensembl.